GGGGCAAGCGUUAUCCGGAUUUACUGGGUGUAAAGGGAGCGUAGACGGCAGGGCAAGUCUGGAGUGAAAGGCGGGGGGCUCAACCCCCGGACUGCUCUGGAAACUGCCAGGCUGGAGUGCAGGAGAGGUAAGUGGAAUUCCUAGUGUAGCGGUGAAAUGCGUAGAUAUUAGGAGGAACACCAGUGGCGAAGGCGGCUUACUGGACUGUAACUGACGUUGAGGCUCGAAAGCGUGGGGAGCAAACA
RNAcentral lists this ribosomal RNA (245 nucleotides) under uncultured bacterium. RNAcentral describes it as "partial 16S ribosomal RNA". It matches the Rfam family "Bacterial small subunit ribosomal RNA", at positions 531 to 774 of the family's 1533-position model. The record is from RNAcentral.